UACGGAGGGUGCAAGCGUUAAUCGGAAUUACUGGGCGUAAAGGGUGCGUAGGUGGUUUAAUAAGUUAGCUGUGAAAUCCCUGGGCUUAACCUAGGAAGGUCAGCUAAGACUGUUGAACUGGAGUAUGGGAGAGGGUAGUGGAAUUUCCGGUGUAGCGGUGAAAUGCGUAGAGAUCGGAAGGAACACCAGUGGCGAAGGCGGCUACCUGGCCUAAUACUGACACUGAGGCACGAAAGCGUGGGGAGCGAACAGG
This 253-nucleotide ribosomal RNA is filed under the name uncultured bacterium. RNAcentral's name for it is "partial 16S ribosomal RNA". It matches the Rfam family "Bacterial small subunit ribosomal RNA", at positions 524 to 776 of the family's 1533-position model. The record is from RNAcentral.